This 253-nucleotide ribosomal RNA is filed under the name uncultured bacterium. RNAcentral's name for it is "partial 16S ribosomal RNA". It matches the Rfam family "Bacterial small subunit ribosomal RNA", at positions 524 to 776 of the family's 1533-position model. The record is from RNAcentral.
UACGGAGGGUGCGAGCGUUGUCCGGAAUCACUGGGCGUAAAGGGCGCGUAGGCGGUCCGGUAAGCGCGUGGUGAAAGCCCGGGGCUCAACCCCGGGUCGGCCGUGCGGACUGCGGGACUGGAGCACUGUAGAGGCAGGCGGAAUUCCGGGUGUAGCGGUGGAAUGCGUAGAGAUCCGGAAGAACACCGGUGGCGAAGGCGGCCUGCUGGGCAGUAGCUGACGCUGAGGCGCGACAGCGUGGGGAGCGAUCCGG